UGUCAGUUGGUCUCUUGUGAAUAGUUUUCUCAUUGGCAAUCAUACCACAUCUUCUUUUUUUAUGUAUAAUUGUUAACUUCAAUGUCAUUUGGUCUCUUGUAGAGAGUUGUCUUAUUGUCUAUCAUAUCAUGCACAUCUUUUUUUUUUAUAUAUAAAAUUAAAAAUUACAUCACUGCGUUAGAUUAUAUCGACUUUUACAAUUUUGGGAGACUAUUAAAAAAU
This 222-nucleotide long non-coding RNA is filed under the name Mytilus galloprovincialis (Mediterranean mussel). Lineage: Eukaryota; Metazoa; Mollusca; Bivalvia; Mytilida; Mytilidae. The record is from RNAcentral.